GAUGAACGCUGGCGGCGUGCCUAAUACAUGCAAGUCGAGCGAACGGACGAGAAGCUUGCGUCUCUGAUGUUAGCGGCGGACGGGUGAGUAACACGUGGAUAACCUACCUAUAAGACUGGGAUAACUUCGGGAAACCGGAGCUAAUACCGGAUAAUAUUUUGAACCGCAGGGUUCAAAAGUGAAAGACGGUCUUGCUGUCACUUAUAGGUGGAUCCGCGCUGCAUUAGCUAGUUGGUAAGGUAACGGCUUACCAAGGCAACGAUGCAUAGCCGACCUGAGAGGGUGAUCGGCCACACUGGAACUGAGACACGGUCCAGACUCCUACGGGAGGCAGCAGUAGGGAAUCUUCCGCAAUGGGCGAAAGCCUGACGGAGCAACGCCGAGUGCGUGAUGAAGGUCUUCGGAUCGUAAAACUCUGUUAUUAGGGAAGAACAUAUGUGUCAGUAACUGUGCACAUCUUGACGGUACCUAAUCAGAAAGCCACGGCUAACUACGUG
RNAcentral lists this ribosomal RNA (497 nucleotides) under uncultured bacterium. Its description in RNAcentral is "partial 16S ribosomal RNA". It matches the Rfam family "Bacterial small subunit ribosomal RNA", at positions 28 to 507 of the family's 1533-position model. The record is from RNAcentral.